This is a small nucleolar RNA of Dipodomys ordii (Ord's kangaroo rat), 140 nucleotides long. NCBI's taxonomy places the organism in Eukaryota, Metazoa, Chordata, Mammalia, Rodentia, Heteromyidae. The record is from Ensembl.
UAUCUUCUUGCUGCUUACCACAGGUGCUAACGAUCAGUUCCUACACGGACCACGUAGAAAGAGGAGACAAAGUAAAACCACCCCCUAUGCGCCUCAGCCAGGCUCUGGGCCUGGUGAGUAUUGUGAAUGGGGAGACAGGU